UACGGAGGGUGCGAGCGUUGUCCGGAAUUAUUGGGCGUAAAGAGCUUGUAGGCGGUUUGUCGCGUCUGCCGUGAAAAUCCGGGGCUCAACCCCGGACUUGCGGUGGGUACGGGCAGACUAGAGUGUGGUAGGGGAGACUGGAAUUCCUGGUGUAGCGGUGAAAUGCGCAGAUAUCAGGAAGAACACCCGUGGCGAAGGCGGCUCUCUGGGCCGUAACUGACGCUGAGGCGCGACAGCGUGGGGAGCAAACAGG
RNAcentral lists this ribosomal RNA (253 nucleotides) under uncultured bacterium. RNAcentral's name for it is "partial 16S ribosomal RNA". It matches the Rfam family "Bacterial small subunit ribosomal RNA", at positions 524 to 776 of the family's 1533-position model. The record is from RNAcentral.